GCUGGGCACGGUGGCGCAUGCCCAUAAUCCCAGCGGCUUGAGAGGCUGAGGCAGGAGGAUCACAAGUUCAAAGCCAGCCUCAGCAAAAGCAAGGUUCUUAGCAACUCAGUGAAAUCCUGUCUUUA
RNAcentral lists this small RNA (125 nucleotides) under Marmota monax (woodchuck). The record is from RNAcentral. Lineage: Eukaryota; Metazoa; Chordata; Mammalia; Rodentia; Sciuridae.